RNAcentral lists this long non-coding RNA (2247 nucleotides) under Phocoena sinus (vaquita). RNAcentral's name for it is "lncRNA (ENSPSNG00000007364.1)". Lineage: Eukaryota; Metazoa; Chordata; Mammalia; Artiodactyla; Phocoenidae. The record is from RNAcentral.
AUAGUUUUAUAUAAGUUUGUAAGUAAGUAAGUAAAUGACAGAAUGCUUUUAGGCACAUUCAGUGGAAGGAGCGGUAGGGUCUGUAUGUUAUCCUGAAAAGAAAAUGAGACUUGAAAAAAGAAAAUCAAUUAUGACCUAAUGGUUAGACUGAGCUCAGGAAUUAUCCAAAAACGAAAAAGCAAAAUACAGAAAGUGGUAUUUUUAGUGAGUGUAAUGUGCAACGUAUGGCUGCAGAGUUGAACUAACUCGGUGGUUAUUGAUCACCGUGAAGUGUUGAUCAUGAUCUAAAAGUGUACGUCGUAAGGCAAGUUUACGGGACUGCACUUCUGAUAAACUGUACUAAACAGCUGUGAACUUUGCUGCUUAGAAUGAGCAGAAAGUUCCAGCUCCGCAAGCACCUUGCAUCUAGUUUGAAACUUGUCUUGAAUAAAUAUUUGAAUUCAAGACUGGUCAACAAAAGAGCAGGCAAAAAUAUCAUUGUCACUGAGUUUCCAUUUCUAUAUUUUAUAGAUCCAACCACUAAUUUAAAGUUUUAGAAAUCAAUUAUCUUUUUAGUGUCCUUGGAUUUAUAAUCCCAAUAGAGGAACUUAAAAUAAUCCUUUUAGGGGACUUUCUUUUCUUUGGCUGAUUUUUUUUUUUCCCCUUUCUCUUCUCAACAAGCUUAAGAAAUGUAACAUUUCUAAGCACUGGAUCUAUUUUCCUGACCUGGGUGUAAUGGCAUAGCUCUGCAGUGACUGAAGUUUUUGCUCUUUUUGUUUUCCUGUUUUGCAAAUUCUUCCUUUUGCCAAAAAUGUUUCCCAGCAGAACACUGCUGUGACUCACGCUUGCUUGUGACACUCGUCCCAGCUGCCCUCCUGAAGCACAAGCUUCUUCUUAGUAACUCUUCCCAUUCCAUGUGCUGUUCCUCGUCACAAAACUGGCUCUUCUCCCUCGUACUGUACCUUCUUUUCUUAAGACCCAAAUCCUCAUCAGCUUCAUUUACCAAAACAUAGUAAGAAGGUGGAAAACGAGGGUGAGUCAGUCUUUCAAGGUAAAGGAGCAGAACUGCGUAGUUACAAGCCACAUCCUCGGUGGUGCAGGCCAGCUGAGUCCUGGGAAUACGGGUGAGGUUGCAUACCUGCGUGCACGGUGACACUAAGGUUUUGUGUCGGCGAUUUCUUUAAUUAACCUAUUUCUGAGUGACUAAUCCCAGUAAACCUCUGUGGAGCUGGCCCAGAGAGGUUCUCAGAUGGGAGUGAAAUAUCUGGCUGGUGUGAGCCGAGAUUUCUCAUUUUUAAACAGGUUAUACAAAAGAGAAUGUAGUUCAGGAGUUAGCUAGAAAGACCUGAUUAAUUAAUUUAGCUUCUACUUUUCACUAUUACAGUUCCAAGUAGGAUACUAUAGGAAGUCAGUGCAAGGUGCAUGCUAGAUUGUUUUUAAGUCUCUGGGGUCAGCUUUGUGGCUUCUGCUUUCUUGCCUAAAUGAUGAGAGACUCUUUGAAGUCAACACUGAAAAUGAUUUUUUGCCUCCACUCUUCCAGCUGUGCCUACAUAGAAAUGCACAGUCCUGUGUGACAGACAGGAGUUUCUGAAGCAGCGGAAUGGUCUCCUUCUAAGAGGUCCUAAUCCUCUUAUCUGAAGAGUGCAAGGGUAGCCCUCUGGGUCACUGAACUAUAUUCAAGUCAUCAGCCAUUUCCAGUGGACCUUGCCAGAAGGGUUCCCUUGGAAUCUGACAAUUGGAAUUUAAGGGAGGAAGCAAAAGCUAAACUUUGACCCUAAGAUAGAAAGCUAUUUAUUUGUCGUCAGUGUUCAAGGCAUGACUAGUAUUUCUAAUUACUCUAAUAAACUCCCAAACUUCCUGACAUGAACACUCAUGGUAUUGUCCUACUAAAACUUGCAUUGUUUUGGUUUUCUAACUGGUCCUUCAUCCACAAUAAGCUAUGAUGGUAACUGUGUCAUAACAUGUAAAUCGUAGUUGCAAGGAUGUACCGUGACGGUUGAAGUAGGCUGGGUUUCAUUUCGAUCGUCCCAUACACAGCUCAUUUAAUUUUAGGGUUGACUUUUAGUUGGCACCACACCUGUUGUAUGAUAUUAUACAUUAUCCUUUAUUUAUGUAAGAUAAAAUGCCUUAUAUAUUAUUAAAGAGUAAGUGCAAUAAUAUGAAAUAGCCUGUACAUUUUUAAAAUGUUGUCGCCAAGGUAUGUAAAUCCACGUCUCUAUAAACAACCUUUUUUAAGUAAUUUUAAAAAAAUAAACACUGUUUACUACU